This 448-nucleotide ribosomal RNA is filed under the name uncultured bacterium. RNAcentral describes it as "bacterial SSU rRNA". It matches the Rfam family "Bacterial small subunit ribosomal RNA", at positions 355 to 825 of the family's 1533-position model. The record is from RNAcentral.
UGGGGAAUCUUGCGCAAUGGGCGAAAGCCUGACGCAGCAACGCCGCGUGCGGGAUGAAGGCCUUCGGGUUGUAAACCGCUUUCAGUGGGGACGAACCAAGACGGUACCCACAGAAGAAGCCCCGGCCAACUACGUGCCAGCAGCCGCGGUAACACGUAGGGGGCAAGCGUUGUUCGGAAUUACUGGGCGUAAAGCGCGGGCAGGCGGUCUGUUAAGUCGUUUGUGAAAAUCCGGGGCUCAACCCCGGAAAUGCAUACGAUACUGGCAGGCUGGAGACUGGUAGAGGCUAGCGGAAUUCCUGGUGUAGCGGUGGAAUGCGUAGAUAUCAGGAAGAACACCUGUGGCGAAGGCGGCUAGCUGGGCCAGUUCUGACGCUGAUCCGCGAAAGCGUGGGGAGCAAACAGGAUUAGAUACCCAGGUAGUCCCUGAGCGGGCUGGCAAGGCGCAU